This 2852-nucleotide ribosomal RNA is filed under the name freshwater metagenome. RNAcentral's name for it is "bacterial LSU rRNA". It matches the Rfam family "Bacterial large subunit ribosomal RNA". The record is from RNAcentral.
AGUGCAUAUGGUGGAUGCCUUGGCGAUUACAGGCGAUGAAGGACGUGAUAGCCUGCGUAAAGUUUCGGGGAGCUGGCAAAUAAGCUUUGAUCCGGAAAUGUCCGAAUGGGGAAACCCACCCGCAAGGGUAACCGCUCCUGAAUAUAUAGGGAGAUGGUGGCGAACCGAGUGAACUGAAACAUCUAAGUAGCUCGAGGAAAAGAAAUCAACCGAGAUUCCGUAAGUAGUGGCGAGCGAACAUGGAACAGCCUGUUAUUUUUAGCACAUGCGAUAGUAGAACGGAAUGGAAAGUCCGGCCAUAGAGGGUGAUAGCCCCUUAUACGAAAUCCCGUGUGUGGAACUAGGGUAACGACAAGUAGGGCGGGGCACGAGAAACCUUGUCUGAACAUGGGGGGACCAUCCUCCAAGGCUAAAUACUCGUAAUCGACCGAUAGUGAACCAGUACCGUGAGGGAAAGGCGAAAAGAACCCCGGGAGGGGAGUGAAAUAGAUCCUGAAACCGUAUGCAUACAAACAGUGGGAGCGGACUUGUUCCGUGACUGCGUACCUUUUGUAUAAUGGGUCAGCGACUUACAUUCAGUAGCAAGCUUAACCGAUAGGGGAGGCGUAGCGAAAGCGAGUCCGAAUAGGGCGUCUAGUUGCUGGGUGUAGACCCGAAACCAAGUGAUCUAUCCAUGGCCAGGAUGAAGGUGCCGUAACAGGUACUGGAGGUCCGAACCCACAAAUGUUGAAAAAUUUGGGGAUGAGCUGUGGAUAGGGGUGAAAGGCUAAACAAACUUGGAAAUAGCUGGUUCUCUCCGAAAACUAUUUAGGUAGUGCCUCGUAUAUCAUUCUCGGGGGUAGAGCACUGUUAUGACUAGGGGGUUCAUAAGAACUUACCAACUCAUUGCAAACUCCGAAUACUGAGAAAUGCAAUUACGGGAGACAGACCAUGGGUGCUAACGUCCGUGGUCAAGAGGGAAACAACCCAGACCGACAGCUAAGGUCCCAAAUGACGUGCUAAGUGGAAAACGAAGUGGGAAGGCAUAGACAGCCAGGAUGUUGGCUUAGAAGCAGCCAUCAUUUAAAGAAAGCGUAAUAGCUCACUGGUCGAGUCGUCCUGCGCGGAAGAUGUAACGGGGCUAAGCACGUAACCGAAGCUUCGGAUACUAGUUUACUAGUAUGGUAGGAGAGCGUUCUGUAGGCCUGCGAAGGUAUUCUGUGAGGGAUGCUGGAGGUAUCAGAAGUGCGAAUGCUGACAUGAGUAGCGAUAAAGGGAGUGAAAAGCUCCCUCGCCGAAAACCCAAGGUUUCCUGCGCAACGUUCAUCGGCGCAGGGUGAGUCGGCCCCUAAGGUGAGGCAGAGAUGCGUAGCUGAUGGGAAACAGGUUAAUAUUCCUGUACCUCUAUACAAUGCGAUGUGGGGACGGAGAAGGUUAGGUCAGCCGGGUGUUGGAUGUCCCGGUUCAAGUGUGUAGGCAGAUUCUUUAGGCAAAUCCGGAGAGUCAAUGCUGAGGCAUGAUAACGAGUCUACUUGUAGACGAAGUGAUUGAUACCAAGCUUCCAAGAAAAGCCACUAAGCUUCAGUUGUAUAAGACCGUACCGCAAACCGACACAGGUGGGUAGGAUGAGAAUUCUAAGGCGCUUGAGAGAACCCGGGAGAAGGAACUCGGCAAAUUAGCACCGUAACUUCGGGAGAAGGUGCGCCCUUUGUAAGUGUAGCGACUUGCUCGUGAAGCUGAAAAGGGUUGCAGUGAAAAGGUGGCUGCGACUGUUUAAUAAAAACACAGCACUCUGCAAACACGAAAGUGGACGUAUAGGGUGUGACGCCUGCCCGGUGCUGGAAGAUUAAAUGAUGGGGUGCAAGCUCUUGAUUGAAGUCCCAGUAAACGGCGGCCGUAACUAUAACGGUCCUAAGGUAGCGAAAUUCCUUGUCGGGUAAGUUCCGACCCGCACGAAUGGCGUAACGAUGGCCACACUGUCUCCUCUCGGGACUCAGCGAAGUUGAAAUGUUUGUGAAGAUGCAAUCUACCCGCGGCUAGACGGAAAGACCCCAUGAACCUUUACUGUAGCUUUACAUUGGACUUUGACAAGAUUUGUGUAGGAUAGGUGGGAGACGUUGAAGCGGAGUCGCUAGAUUCCGUGGAGUCAACCUUGAAAUACCACCCUGAUGUUGUUGAGGUUCUAACCUAGGUCCAUAAUCUGGACUGGGGACCGUGUAUGGUGGGCAGUUUGACUGGGGCGGUCUCCUCCCAAAGAGUAACGGAGGAGUGCGAAGGUAACCUAGGUACGGUCGGAAAUCGUACUGAUAGUGCAAUGGCAUAAGGUUGCUUGACUGCGAGACGGACAGGUCGAGCAGGUGCGAAAGCAGGUCAUAGUGAUCCGGUGGUUCUNNNNNNNNNNNNNNNNNNNNNNNNGGGGAUAACAGGCUGAUUCCUCCCAAGAGUUCAUAUCGACGGGGGAGUUUGGCACCUCGAUGUCGGCUCAUCACAUCCUGGGGCUGUAGCCGGUCCCAAGGGUAUGGCUGUUCGCCAUUUAAAGUGGUACGUGAGCUGGGUUUAAAACGUCGUGAGACAGUUUGGUCCCUAUCUGCCGUGGGCGCUGGAAAUUUGAAGGGACCUGCUCCUAGUACGAGAGGACCGGAGUGGACGCACCGCUGGUGGACCAGUUAUCAUGCCAAUGGUAUAGCUGGGUAGCUAAGUGCGGAAGAGAUAAACGCUGAAAGCAUCUAAGCGUGAAACUCGCCUUGAGAUGAGAUUUCCCGGGGGUUUAACCCCCCUAAAGAGUCGUUCGAGACCAGGACGUUGAUAGGACGGAUGUGGAAGUGCAGUAAUGCAUUAAGCUGACCGUUACUAAUUGCUCGUGAGGCUUGAUC